Molecule: ribosomal RNA, 102 nt
Filed under: Pteropus alecto (black flying fox)
Lineage: Eukaryota; Metazoa; Chordata; Mammalia; Chiroptera; Pteropodidae
Source: RNAcentral
GUCUACGGCCAUGCAACCUGUCUGAUCUCGGAAGCUAAGCAGGAUCGGGCCUGGUUAGUACUUGGAUGAGAGACCACCUAGGAAGACUACAUGCUGUAGGCA